AGCUCCAAUAGCGUAUAUUAAAGUUGUUGCAGUUAAAAAGCUCGUAGUUGGAUUUCUGGCAGGAGCGGCCGGCCACGCGCUCUGCGCGUGAGUUUGUGCUGUCUCUAGCCAUCCUCGGGGAGAUCGCGUUUGGCAUUAAGUUGUCGGGCGUGGGAUACCCGUCGUUUACUGUGAAAAAAUUAGAGUGUUUAAAGCAGACUUAUGCCGUUGAAUAUAUUAGCAUGGAAUAAUAAGAUAGGACUUCGGAACUAUUUUGUUGGUUUGCGUUACAAAGUAAUGAUUAAUAGGGACAGUUGGGGGUAUUCGUAUUUCGUUGUCAGAGGUGAAAUUCUUGGAUUUCCGAAAGACGAACUACUGCGAAAGCAUUUACCAAGGAUGUUUUCAUUAAUCAAGAACGAAA
RNAcentral lists this ribosomal RNA (400 nucleotides) under phytoplankton environmental sample. RNAcentral describes it as "partial small subunit ribosomal RNA". It matches the Rfam family "Eukaryotic small subunit ribosomal RNA", at positions 587 to 988 of the family's 1831-position model. The record is from RNAcentral.